GGGACCGUGCCAGGUGGGCAGUUUGACUGGGGCGGUCGCCUCCAAAAGAGUAACGGAGGCGCCCAAAGGUUCCCUCAGACUGAAUGGAAACCAGUCGAAGAGUGUAAAGGCAUAAGGGAGCUUGACUGCAAGACCAACGCGUCGAGCAGAGACGAAAGUCGGGCUUAGUGAUCCCACGGUACUGAGUGGAAGGGCCGUGGCUUACCGGAUAAAAGCUACCCCGGGGAUAACAGGCUGGUGAGGUCCAAGAGUUCACAUCGACGACCUCGCUCGGCACCUCGAUGUCGGCUCAUCACAUCCUGGGGCUGGACAAGGUCCCAAGGGUCGGGCUGUUCGCCCGUUAAAGUGGUACGCGAGCUGGGUUCAGACCGUCGUGAGACAGGUCGGUCUCUAUCCGCUGUGGGCGCAAGGAGUUUGCGAGGAGCUGUCCCUAGUACGAGAGGACCGGGAUGGACAGACCUCUGGUGUGUCAGUUGUCGUGCCAACGGCAUUGCUGAGUAGCUAUGUCUGGCAGGGAUAACCGCUGAAAGCAUCUAAGCGGGAAGCUCGCCUCAAGAUAAGACUCCUGUAAUCCUGAAAGGGAGUAAGAUCGCAGGAAGACUACCUGCUUGAUAGGCGACGUGUGUAAGUGCAGUAAUGCAUUGAGCUAAGUCGUACUAAUGAUCGAGGGCUUACGAUA
RNAcentral lists this ribosomal RNA (679 nucleotides) under Promineifilum sp. (SeqCode). RNAcentral's name for it is "partial 23S ribosomal RNA". It matches the Rfam family "Bacterial large subunit ribosomal RNA", at positions 2248 to 2925 of the family's 2925-position model. The record is from RNAcentral. Lineage: Bacteria; Bacillati; Chloroflexota; Ardenticatenia; Promineifilales (SeqCode); Promineifilaceae (SeqCode).